Molecule: long non-coding RNA, 5314 nt
Organism: Gallus gallus (chicken)
Lineage: Eukaryota; Metazoa; Chordata; Aves; Galliformes; Phasianidae
Source: Ensembl
AUGGAAAUGUUCCAUGGCUUGAAGAGGUGGAGAGGAUGUGGGAGAUGCAUUCUUUGAAAAGAGACACAUAGACAUGAAAUGGGAAUUUCCAUAAGCAAUUUAGGAGAAGGAGGACUUCUGAAUGCUUGUACUUAGAAUUAUUUGCAAUGUCUUCCCCUAAUUCAAGGGUAGUUUGUCUUAUCCUUGGAUAAGAUACGAUUGGAUUGCCUGGAAAAAGAGAGGGUAGCCAUGCACUGACGUAGCAGAAGUAGAGCUGCUGAGGCCAACAAGGAACCUUUGGGAUUGCUCCUGGCCGUGGAUGUUUGGCAUGUCCCUGACAGCCGAGCUGUACAUGCUCAGACAUGCUCCCCCAGCCUGGGCUUUGGGCUCCCACGGCCCCUGCAGAGCACUGGGAGGAGCUGGGGCUGAAGGCCUGAGCUCUGCUCUCUCAGCUCUAAGCCCUGGGGAAGCGUCCCUGACCCUGCUCUGUGCACAGUUUUCUCUUGAAUGCCUCACGUGGGAAAUGCCCCAAUGUGGGGAAUGCUCGUGAGGCUGUUUGCAAGAGCAGUUCCUGGCUUGCUUGCUGUGCCCGUUGCUUUGGCAGGCUCCUGGGGGUUGGAUGUUGGUGCUCAUUGCUUCUGGCCGGGCUUAUGGCUGCUUUGGAACUACUGUGGUCUCACACCAUUGUUGUCCUUCGAUACAGAUAUGCUGUUCUCAGUGCUUGCUGCCUGCAUACCUCUAUGUUCGUGCUGCUCUCUGGGUGGUGAGGCUCUCCCUGGGCUCUGGCAGUGACUCAGCUUCGUCUCCUCGGGGUGUGCUCCUCACAGCCUGCCUUGUUAUCUCUUAGCAAUCCCACGCUGAUCCGUAGAGGAUCCAUGUGUGUGCUGGGAGCAAGCUGGUACGGCGCCUUCAGUGCUCGCUCCCUGCACCUUUCUCUCUUACUGUGCCUUCAUCACAGCUUGCUCCCAGGGCAGGGCAUCAGCUGCCUUCUGGAAGCACAGCUGUUGUCCUUAGAGGAAUCGAUGUUCUUAUUUCAAAAUGGAAAUCUAACCACAACUCCCCAAAACCAAACCCCAAACCCCCAGCCCUCGUGGGCAGCCUCAUGUAGUCUGAUGGGGGUGAUGGUCUAUGUGAGAUCUUCCUCUGCUUUCCCAUUUAGCCCCAUCACGUCAGCUGUUCUUUGAACCUUGCUCUGAAAUGUCAGCGGGGGGUUGCCCUCAUUUCAGUGCUCUGUCUCAUGCUGUCGCUUGUGGGUUUUGCUGUAUAGGCUGGGCAAGUGAACUGGGGGAAAAAACCCACAAAAACCAAUCAAAACACACAGAUUCUGUAAUUGCUUUGGAAUCUGACGAGCAGCAGAUGGCUCUGUGCUCUUUGCAAGCACCCAUCCUCUGCAUACCGAGGACUAGCUACGUCAUGUUGUUCAACAAGCCACAGAAAUUAUAUUUUAAUCCAACCUUGCUUCCCCCUUCCUCCUCCCCCACCCCCCGUGGUUUGUUGUUGCACUCAGUAGCUUGCCAUAAUGCAUUUCGUCCUGCCUGCCUCUGAUUGGAAACACAAGACACGACUUCAUUACAAGCUCUAUGGCUUCCCCCUACACUUAACAUACCGUACAAAUUGUUUGCUCAACUUUGGCAUCUUGCCUCAGAGGAAUUUUUGUCAUUUGAAGGUUUUAAAUCGGCUAUUUGAGCCACUCACAAUUGUAAAUAAUAGCCUAUUAGUUUAUAAGAGACGUACUUGCUGGCAUUUCAAACCUCUCAGAGGGAUCACACUGUCUUGGAAACCCUGUAACGCCUAUGGAACUGAGCACUGUUUAAAGAAACCCCCAAACGCUGCCCUGGGAAAAUUCAUUUAUAGAAAAUAAGCGAAACGAAUAGAUGUUUUUAGCCACAUGUUACUCAUUUUCUUUUUAUUGCUUUAACAUGUCUUCACUGGAACAUGUUUCCAUUGGAGGCUGCUGGUGCCAGCUGUACACCUGGCUCAAGUUGGAAAGAAAUGGAGUUUGGCCUUUCAUCUUCGCUGUUUUCUGUUAUGAUUGGAACUGAGGGUUGGCCCCAGAUCAGACAAAGGGUGAGCUGAAAACCAUCCUCAGAGCUGGUUUCUAGAGGAAGCCUUAUAGGGUUGUGUGUGGGGGGUUUGGCUUUUUUUUUCUCCUCUCCCUUUUUGGAGCUCUUGUAUUGAGUUUAUAUACUGGCAGAGGCAGGAAACCAUUGUGUACAAUAUGGCAAACAGAGCUAACAGGCAGUCAGGCCAGAGGCUAUAAAUUAUUAUUUUAAUUUCUUGGUUUAUGGUUUCUUGUUGACUCCAGAUCAAUAGGAAAAAGAUGCAUUGAGCCACCUCUUUUAAUUAAAAAGGCUUCUGUGAUUAGGCUCUAGUGAGGGAUGAAGAGGCGCGUGAAGAGGAUGUGUCUGGAAGCAGAUGGUGGUUUCCAGGGGGAGGAAUGUUGCUUUCCCCUGUGCUGCAUCAGCCGCUCAUUUUCUAGUGGCCAACUUUCUGGAGGAGCUAUGGGAGAAACCCAACUGCAGCGCAGCACACUUCACCGAGCUUUCUUCCAGCCUGGUUUGUGUUUGCAUCCUCACAUCCCGAGCCAGCGGACCUUGUUUCCCAUCGAAUAAAAAAGCACUGUAUUUUAGCAGACUCUUGUGCUUAUUUUAAAACAACUCCAGCUUCGUUUCACCCCAAACGUGGGCCACUUGCCCCAUAGUGCUGAGAAAUCGUUGGCGUUUGGUGCCUAACAGGUGCAGCAAUGUUUUUCUUUCCAAAGAAUUUCCACAGCGAAAUGCACAUCUGUAACAAAGCCUGUGUUUUUCUGCUCAUCACCCUCAGACACGGCCGUAAUUAAAUGCAGAUAUUAAUACCGAGGGCUACUUUGUGUUCCAUAAUCCGUAGGAGAAUGACCCAUUGCACGGCGCUCGUUUGAAGUCUUAGUUAACCUUUAAUCGUUUGAUGCUGAGUCUGGCUUUGAUUUUCACAGCAGAAGAAGUGCGUUUUGCAAAACCUUCAGGAAGGAAACGUGCCAAUCCCACAGUAUUUCUCAUCGUGCUGUGGACGUUACUGUCAAAACCUCUCGGGCAACGCUGUGAGCAGUGAGGGCUUUUUCCAUUCCUCGCUUGCGCUCUGCCUCUUGUAAGGCAGCAUCGGAGUAAUGGCUUAAAUGCUGCUAACGUUUGUUUUGCUGAAGGAGACCUGGGCCGGUAGAGCAGGGCGGCGUGGCGCAGGUCUCAGAUGUGGAAUUUCCUCAGCACGAAGGUAUGCGGAGUAGGUUCUUGAGGGAACGCUUACAGGUGUUCAGAAAAGCAGAAGUAGAAAGGUUAAACCUUCAGUGCAUUCCACGAUAAAAGCGGAGCCAACAGCCCUUCAGAAGCAUGUCAGCUUGUUUGUUUUUGCCUUGUGGGAGGUGCUGUUUAACCGGCGCUGAGCUGGCAGAUAAGGCGGUGCUGCCAUGCUGCAGAGAGGUGAAGAAUUCCCCUCGCCCGCUCCCACCCGGCGCGCUGUGUGAGCUCGAGCUGCUGUAAUAAAAGUCUGCCCUCCGCAGUGGGUUUGGCCCAGAGCCUGGGAGCUGGGAGCGGGGCUUCCCUCGGCUGUGCAAACCUGGGGGCUGUCUCCCUGCCUGUGCAACUCCAUAGCCUGCGUUUGACCGCUGUGCUGCCCUGAUCUGCUCAAACUGGGCCUUCUAGCGCUCCCCACCUCCUGAAUUUUUUGUCUCCGUGCCAGCACUUCCUUUUCACCACAAUUCCUACCCUGUAACUAUCACAGCUGACUCCUUCUCCAAAGAAUAGGAAAUAAACUCCCUUACCUCCAGCCAAGACCUGAUAACUGCUGAUAAGUGGCUUGUCAGCAGGGGCUGAGCCGGGCGCUGGUCACUGCUGGGCUCGGGUCCUGAACCCUUCUGAGAGGUAACGGCUGAUGGAAGCCAAGGAAGCAGAAAGCUGUGCAAAGAAGGACUUGGAAGGGAGAUGUGCGUCCACCAUCUGUCUUUUGUGCGAGAUAUCGUAUGCUGGCUUGCCUACCUGUCCUGCCUGGUGUUUCUGUUCUUGUAUGAGCGUGGCCCCUGGUUCUGAACAUCCUCCAUGACAUUUUCAUCUCUCUGUCUGAGAGUGUUUAACACUGUUAAUAGCAUCGGCUGCUUUGGCUUACAGCUGAGAACAGCCAGGCAGGCUCUCAAAAUUGUUUCAAUGAGAAAACAAGGAUGUCCAGAACAGCAGUACCUCUGCCUUGGUUCGUGGCUGAAAUAAUCUUUCUCUUAUCCCUGCAGUGAUGUGCUGACAGAGUGCCGUCUCUCUGGCUGUACAGCCAGGACACAUGUUUUUCUCUUCUGAAAGAGGUGAAACCUCUUCCAGUGUCCCCACGACCAGAAGCUCUUCCUGAUGCUGCCUGGGGCUGCUCGGAGGAAGCAGGGACCCAAUGGCUGCUGCUCUGGGUGAGCUGGGCACUGAUAGCGCCCAACCAGCCCACGUGGGCUUGGUUCUUAUUAAUCAAAACGUGCUCGGUGGCGGCUGUCCUGCCGUGCCCUGCGUGCCCACCAUGCAAAUUCCUCUGCUGACUGCUUGCCGAUCAGGCAGCAUGUGAAGGGGAUAGCGGUUCAAGAGGCUGGGGCUGAGUCUGGCUUUGCUAUAGGCUGUGAAUGUGAUUUACACCCCGUGGGCUCCCCAGCUGGUCGCCGAAUGGGGUAGCAUGGAUGGCAUUUUCCUUUUCAAGUUUGGUUUCUGUGGAGACUCGUUUCUUCCUAGGUGAUAACUUUACAGAGGAGACUAAUGACCACAUGUUGAUGAAAUACUGCUGCGGGCCCAUCUGGAACUGACGUGCGUCUUUGAGAAACAGCUGGAAAUCUGCAUCCUCCAUCUCUACAGCCAAAGCACUCCUUUGCUGUGAUUGCUGCCUUUGAAGCAAGCUAAGCUUUCCAAGUGCAAGCUCCAGCCAAGCUUGGGCUCUGGCUCAGCGCUCUUGACACAAAGUGUUCUCCAGCCCUGGGAUAUAUAACCUGUUAGAUCCAAGCCUGAGAAACCACCGUUGCUGUAAUGAUACACAAAAUAGAAAUCUCCACCUAACCCAGGACAAAAUGCUGUGCAAUCACUUUUGGAUCGCUGUGGGCUGCUUUCGCCGCAGACGCGAAGUCUGACAUCCAAAUGCACAACAGAAGAUCACCGAGACUUUGCAAAAUGCUCUAGGUGACAUAAACCGCAGUUUAAUGUGUUAGCAUUUGCCCGUCUGGGGGAUUCCUGAGGCUCAGCCAGCAGCGGGGCUGUGGGAAAGGAGGAGCGCAAACACCGCUGUCCUCUGCUGACCCGGCUUGUGCUGCUGCGUCGCUGACAGCCAUAAUAGGGAGCUCUGCGGAGAG